RNAcentral lists this ribosomal RNA (162 nucleotides) under Lasthenia californica. RNAcentral describes it as "5.8S ribosomal RNA". It matches the Rfam family "5.8S ribosomal RNA". From Rfam's summary of the family: 5.8S ribosomal RNA (5.8S rRNA) is a component of the large subunit of the eukaryotic ribosome. It is transcribed by RNA polymerase I as part of the 45S precursor that also contains 18S and 28S rRNA. Lineage: Eukaryota; Viridiplantae; Streptophyta; Magnoliopsida; Asterales; Asteraceae. The record is from RNAcentral.
UAAACGACUCUCGGCAACGGAUAUUCGGCUUACGCAUCGAUGAAGAACGUAGCAAAAUGCGAUACUUGGUGUGAAUUGCAGAAUCCCGUGAACCAUCGAGUUUUUGAACGCAAGUUGCGCCCGAAGCCAUCUGGUUGAGGGCACGUCUGCCUGGGCGUCACG